This is a long non-coding RNA of Portunus trituberculatus (swimming crab), 1058 nucleotides long. RefSeq lists it as uncharacterized. The transcript has 2 exons. The record is from RefSeq and is a predicted model, not a curated record. NCBI's taxonomy places the organism in Eukaryota, Metazoa, Arthropoda, Malacostraca, Decapoda, Portunidae.
UAAUCAUAUACUAGUUAAUCUAGUUGUAGAAGUAGCUUAACACUUCCCUCCUGAAAAGUAGUAUAUUCCAAGAGUUAAGAAGGUUAAAAACCAGAAUCAGGUAGGGAACAGCUACAUAUAUGUUCAAAAUAAAUUACCAAUGAUUAUUCUUUCUCUUUGUUUUAUCAGGGAGCCAAUAAACACAUACUAGAUUCAGUCUCGGCCUCUGUUGGCAAGAAGUGAAAGCCUUGCAGUUUGUGCAUCAAAUCUUGCCAGAAAGAGGUGGCACCAAAAUAACAGACACCACACACCGCUGCGUUCACACCUUCUGAGGCGUGGGCAGAUCUGCAGCAUUUUCAACAAUGGUCUCCUGUUUUUUAUUGAUAAUCUUUUGCAUUUUUUUUAAUUAAACAAAGCUGAACAUUAUCAACAUAACGAAAGUAGGUGGCGGCGUGCGUCGCCGUUACUGCCCCCAUUUUUACCCCUCUCCCAUUCUCGCACCCUAACUUAAUUCAAUUUACACAUAAGUAAGUUAGCCAAGCCAUAUCCUCCUUGCCAUACACGUCUUCUUAUUUCAGUACAUUUCUUACAGGCAAUUUUGUCUGACAACUCUUGAGAACACUAGUCAGCGGUUUUUUGAACGUGGUAUCCUUAAAUAAUAUUUUUUUUCCCUUAAACUUUAACGGUGAAAUUGUAAUCUGUUUCCAUUUCCUUAAUCUCAGUUUUGUAUUGUGUGCUCAUGAACAAUAUCAACUAAAACGCAAACUCGCAAGGGACUGCCUUAAAGUAAUAUCUUAAUGGCCACACAAAUAUAAUGUUGAUGUUCGGCCAUAAGACAAAAAACAUUAUGGACGGACCACAAGGUGCAUGCCAAGAAAGCUGCGGAAAACGAGUGGCUCAGCGAUACAGUGUUGGACACGAGACAGGGAGGAAAAGGUUCGUGGUUCUAUCAGUGACAGGUGCUCCCUGAAGGAGUCCCCGCCCUUGUCAUCACGGGGAAGAGGAGGGAGACGGGCUGCCUGAUGGAUCUACUUAUUGCUGUCUUAUUUUAUUUUCGCUUAAUAAACCAUUUCAUGUUA